UAAGUUGAAAGGGCGCACGGUGGAUGCCUUGACACUAGGAGUCGAUGAAGGACGGGACUAACGCCGAUAUGCUUCGGGGAGCUGUAAGUAAGCUUUGAUCCGAAGAUUUCCGAAUGGGGAAACCCACCAUACGUAAUGGUAUGGUAUCCUUAUCUGAAUACAUAGGGUAAGGAAGACAGACCCAGGGAACUGAAACAUCUAAGUACCUGGAGGAAGAGAAAGCAAAUGCGAUUUCCUGAGUAGCGGCGAGCGAAACGGAACAUAGCCCAAACCAAGAGGCUUGCCUCUUGGGGUUGUAGGACAUUCUAUACGGAGUUACAAAGGAACGAGGUAGACGAAGCGACCUGGAAAGGUCCGUCGUAGAGGGUAACAACCCCGUAGUCGAAACUUCGUUCUCUCUUGAAUGUAUCCUGAGUACGGCGGAACACGUGAAAUUCCGUCGGAAUCUGGGAGGACCAUCUCCCAAGGCUAAAUACUCCCUAGUGAUCGAUAGUGAACCAGUACCGUGAGAGAAAGGUGAAAAGCACCCCGGAAGGGGAGUGAAAGAGAUCCUGAAACCGUGUGCCUACAAAUAGUCAGAGCCCGUUAACGGGUGAUGGCGUGCCUUUUGUAGAAUGAACCGGCGAGUUACGAUCCCGUGCGAGGUUAAGCUGAAGAGGCGGAGCCGCAGCGAAAGCGAGUCUGAAUAGGGCGUUUAGUACGUGGUCGUAGACCCGAAACCAGGUGAUCUACCCAUGUCCAGGGUGAAGUUCAGGUAACACUGAAUGGAGGCCCGAACCCACGCACGUUGAAAAGUGCGGGGAUGAGGUGUGGGUAGCGGAGAAAUUCCAAUCGAACCUGGAGAUAGCUGGUUCUCCCCGAAAUAGCUUUAGGGCUAGCCUUAAGUGUAAGAGUCUUGGAGGUAGAGCACUGAUUGGACUAGGGGUCCUCAUCGGAUUACCGAAUUCAGUCAAACUCCGAAUGCCAAUGACUUAUCCUUAGGAGUCAGACUGCGAGUGAUAAGAUCCGUAGUCAAAAGGGAAACAGCCCAGACCGCCAGCUAAGGUCCCAAAGUGUGUAUUAAGUGGAAAAGGAUGUGGAGUUGCUUAGACAACUAGGAUGUUGGCUUAGAAGCAGCCACCAUUUAAAGAGUGCGUAAUAGCUCACUAGUCGAGUGACUCUGCGCCGAAAAUGUACCGGGGCUAAAUACACCACCGAAGCUGCGGAUUGAUACCAAUGGUAUCAGUGGUAGGGGAGCGUUCUAAGGACAGUGAAGUCAGACCGGAAGGACUGGUGGAGUGCUUAGAAGUGAGAAUGCCGGUAUGAGUAGCGAAAGACGGGUGAGAAUCCCGUCCACCGAAUGCCUAAGGUUUCCUGAGGAAGGCUCGUCCGCUCAGGGUUAGUCAGGACCUAAGCCGAGGCCGACAGGCGUAGGCGAUGGACAACAGGUUGAUAUUCCUGUACCACCUCUUUAUCGUUUGAGCAAUGGAGGGACGCAGAAGGAUAGAAGAAGCGUGCGAUUGGUUGUGCACGUCCAAGCAGUUAGGCUGAUAAGUAGGCAAAUCCGCUUAUCGUGAAGGCUGAGCUGUGAUGGGGAAGCUCCUUAUGGAGCGAAGUCUUUGAUUCCCCGCUGCCAAGAAAAGCUUCUAGCGAGAUAAAAGGUGCCUGUACCGCAAACCGACACAGGUAGGCGAGGAGAGAAUCCUAAGGUGUGCGAGAGAACUCUGGUUAAGGAACUCGGCAAAAUGACCCCGUAACUUCGGGAGAAGGGGUGCUUUCUUAACGGAAAGCCGCAGUGAAUAGGCCCAAGCGACUGUUUAGCAAAAACACAGCUCUCUGCGAAGCCGUAAGGCGAAGUAUAGGGGGUGACACCUGCCCGGUGCUGGAAGGUUAAGGAGAGGGGUUAGCGUAAGCGAAGCUCUGAACUGAAGCCCCAGUAAACGGCGGCCGUAACUAUAACGGUCCUAAGGUAGCGAAAUUCCUUGUCGGGUAAGUUCCGACCCGCACGAAAGGUGUAACGAUUUGGGCACUGUCUCAACCGAGAGACUCGGUGAAAUUAUAGUACCUGUGAAGAUGCAGGUUAACCCGACGACAGGACGGAAAGACCCCGUGGAAGCUUUACUGUAGCCUGAUAUUGAAUUUUGGUACAGUUUGUACAGGAUAGGCGGGAGCCUUUGAAACCGGAGCGCUAGCUUCGGUGGAGGCGCUGGUGGGAUACCGCCCUGACUGUAUUGAAAUUCUAACCUACGGGUCUUAUCGACCCGGGAGACAGUGUCAGGUGGGCAGUUUGACUGGGGCGGUCGCCUCCUAAAGUGUAACGGAGGCGCCCAAAGGUUCCCUCAGAAUGGUUGGAAAUCAUUCGUAGAGUGCAAAGGCAUAAGGGAGCUUGACUGCGAGACCUACAAGUCGAGCAGGGACGAAAGUCGGGCUUAGUGAUCCGGUGGUUCCGCAUGGAAGGGCCAUCGCUCAACGGAUAAAAGCUACCCCGGGGAUAACAGGCUUAUCUCCCCCAAGAGUCCACAUCGACGGGGAGGUUUGGCACCUCGAUGUCGGCUCAUCGCAUCCUGGGGCUGUAGUCGGUCCCAAGGGUUGGGCUGUUCGCCCAUUAAAGCGGUACGCGAGCUGGGUUCAGAACGUCGUGAGACAGUUCGGUCCCUAUCCGUCGUGGGCGUAGGAAAUUUGAGAGGAGCUGUCCUUAGUACGAGAGGACCGGGAUGGACGCACCGCUGGUGUACCAGUUGUUCUGCCAAGGGCAUAGCUGGGUAGCUAUGUGCGGAAGGGAUAAGUGCUGAAAGCAUCUAAGCAUGAAGCCCCCCUCAAGAUGAGAUUUCCCAUAGCGUAAGCUAGUAAGAUCCCUGAAAGAUGAUCAGGUUGAUAGGUUCGAGGUGGAAGCAUGGUGACAUGUGGAGCUGACGAAUACUAAUAGAUCGAGGACUUAACCA
RNAcentral lists this ribosomal RNA (2921 nucleotides) under Bacillus anthracis (anthrax bacterium). RNAcentral's name for it is "bacterial LSU rRNA". It matches the Rfam family "Bacterial large subunit ribosomal RNA". The record is from RNAcentral. Lineage: Bacteria; Bacillati; Bacillota; Bacilli; Caryophanales; Bacillaceae.